Molecule: unclassified non-coding RNA, 386 nt
Filed under: soil metagenome
Description: partial contains 5.8S ribosomal RNA, internal transcribed spacer 2, and large subunit ribosomal RNA
Rfam family: 5.8S ribosomal RNA (bases 1-122)
Source: RNAcentral
GAUGAAGAACGUAGCGAAAUGCGAUAAGUAAUGUGAAUUGCAGAAUUCAGUGAAUCAUCGAAUCUUUGAACGCACCUUGCACCCUUUGGACUGCUCCAAAGGGUAUGCUCGUUUGAGUGUCAUUGUACUCUCACACUCUCUGAUCCUUUGGAUUUGGGGAGCAGUGGACUUGGGUGCUUGCUGCUUCCUUGUGGCUCACCUGAAAUGCAUCAGUGCAUCUCUCGAUUGGACAUAGUACGGCGUGAUAAGUGUCUUCGCCGGCACCUCAUAUGAGGGUGGCCGAUCGGGAGCUCUGUGCUUUCAAACCGUCUUCGGACAACGCUGACAACUUGACCUCAAAUCGAGUAGGACUACCCGCUGAACUUAAGCAUAUCAAUAACGGAGGA